Cydia strobilella is the source of this 504-nucleotide long non-coding RNA. RefSeq lists it as uncharacterized. The transcript has 3 exons. NCBI's taxonomy places the organism in Eukaryota, Metazoa, Arthropoda, Insecta, Lepidoptera, Tortricidae. The record is from RefSeq and is a predicted model, not a curated record.
CCAGGUUCACACGGCUGCAUUAGUGACUAGUGUGGUGCGGAGUGAAAUGUCACAUCAGGUGAAUAUUGUUAAAGUUUUAGACUGAGUGACCAGGUUCACACGGCUGCACUAGUGACUAGUGUGGUGCGGAGUGAAAUUGAAAUGUCACCUCAGGUGAAUAUUGUUAAAGUUUUAGACUGAGUGACCAGGUUCACACGACUGCACUAGUGACUAGUGUGGUGCAGAGUGAAACUGAAAUGGCACUUUAGGUGUAUAUUAUUAAUGUUUUAGACUGAGUGACCAGGUUCACACGGCUGCACUAGUGACUAGUGUGGUGCGGAGUGAAACGUCACCUCAGGUGAAUAUUGUUCAAGUUUUAGACUGAGUGACCAGGUUCACACGGCUGCACUAGUGACUAGUGUGGUGCGGAGUGAAACGUCACCUCAGGUGAAUAUUGUUAAAGUUUUAGACUGAGUGACCAGGUUCGCACGGCUGCACUAGUGACUAAUGUGGUACGGAGUGAAA